This 1128-nucleotide long non-coding RNA is filed under the name Malus domestica (apple). Its description in RNAcentral is "long non-coding RNA (MDOM_LNC019407)". The record is from RNAcentral. Lineage: Eukaryota; Viridiplantae; Streptophyta; Magnoliopsida; Rosales; Rosaceae.
UUUUUGGUUUUUUUCGGUUUUCGGUUUUUUGAACCCACCCCUAAUUUUCUCAUCAAGUUUUUGGCGGCGUUGCCGGGGAUUAGCAACUUUGCUAAUCCCUUGUUAUUUCUUUUUGUUUAUUUUCGUGUCUUUUGUUUUUAGUUACUGACUUUGUUUCUGUUUGUGUUUUUUUUUUUUUUGGUUUUACUUUUGAUAUUUGAUUUAGUUUUGUUUCCUUGAUUUCGGGUACUAGAGAAGUAAGACAUGGAUUUUGUUACCAUUCAAGCUCAAUUGGCAGAACUUACUUCUCAAUUGUCACAAUAUGCCGAAAGGAACACAAUGCAAAGUGUCCCUACAAUGGUGUGUCAUAUGGGCAAGGAUAUCCAACUCAACAAUAUUUUCAAUUCGCUGCGAAUGAAGAUGCUUGGGAUUAUGAAGGCCAUAGCCAAUCAUGGGACAACAUGUUUUCCAAUGCUUACAAUUCGGAUUGGAGAGAUUAUUCAGAUUACAUAGAACCUCUUCGAAAUGUGCCCUAAAACCAAUCAUAUGAUGAUACUUUACGGACAUUUCACAUGUUAAACUAAUCUAGUUUAAUGUCAAGGGCAAAUAUUAUUGUUUUAAGCCGUCUCAUAUAAAUGUUAUAUGCUUAAACGAUAAGUCCAAGGAAUAUGUAAUUGGGAGAAUGUAAUUUAAACAAGUUAGAUUAAUGAGACCAUUCUCUUUCGUAUACAUAUCCUAAACGUUCCUGAUCAUAGGAUUGCCAAUUGGGCAUUGACAGUCCGUUAAGAUCAGUACGUGAUGUGUCUUCUCUCAUGGAGAGAUACUGGUCUCGAGUCAUUGGUGUGAUUGACACCAAGACAAGCAUGUAGGUCCUUAAUAGAGAAUGAGUCCACUGAACACGAUCAAUGAGCAGUUCUUAUACUCAUGUCACAUGAGAACUCAUGGUUGGGAUAAUGCAAAGUAGUCCUUUGAUCUGAGGCAUCAUAGUUGUCUUGUGGUUUGGUACUUGAUCUUUGACUAUGUCAAAGUCACCUCGUCAGAGGGUGUCCACGACAUAGUUGGGGUUAAGCCACUUAGCCAUGGAGGCAAGUGAAUGCGCAACAAGGGAUCUCUAACCUUCAAACCAUUUGAGGGAGAAUACUCUAUGAU